Molecule: long non-coding RNA, 949 nt
Organism: Syzygium oleosum
Lineage: Eukaryota; Viridiplantae; Streptophyta; Magnoliopsida; Myrtales; Myrtaceae
Exons: 3
Source: RefSeq, a predicted model, not a curated record
CGCCCACAGUGCUGCCGGUAAUAUCUCUCUCUCUAAGCUCGGUCUCGCUUGCGUAUACCCGAACUUUGUUGUGUUUUUAGUUGAAUCACUGUCUCUUCUAUCUCUCGCACAAAUCCAGUUUGAUCUCCCAUAGAACACAUAUUCAAUUCGAGCUCCUUCUCCUCUUCACUUCCGGUCUCUCUUUCUGGGUUCGUUCGGCUCAUGAUUGGGAGUUUUUCUGACGGUCCUCCUUUGCUUCUCUUCUUUUGGCUUUUGAAUGAUUUCCAGACGCAGUGCUUCCCCCCAUCCAAUCGGUGCUUCUUUCGGCUCAUGUAAGCAUUUCCCGAACCGAGGUGUGAAUUGAGCAUCUCCAUUUUUUUAGCGGGUGGUUUCUUUCUAUCGUUCGGAGCUCAAGGAUUGAGCCGAAGAAAGCCUUGUACGGAUAGAACAAGAACGACGACGCUAAUUUGGAGGGAUCCAGAUCGGUCGGUCGUUGAACAGAGCCGAUCGAUUCGAGCACAAGGGAAGUCCAGAAGAGAAACGUUCGUCUUUAACUCUUUGGGGUUGGAUAAACGAGAUCUUGCAUGGUAUAUGGAUGGGGAAGAGGUGAACAUGGGAGUCUUGGUUAGGUGUUGGGAUCAAAAGCAUUUAGAAAAUUUUGUAUCAAGUUUAGUUGGCUUGAGUUGGAAAAGCAUGUACGGUAUUUUGUUUGUUGAAACUUUUGGUAUCCAUUAUUUUUUGAAGAUUUUGUUUGUCAAGGUUUUUCUACUAGAGUAGUUUAGCAUUAGACAUCGAAGCGGUGGAUGGGUUCUAGGCUUCUAGUUGUGCACUUUGAUCCCGCGUUAUGUUUUGCUAUUUACCCGCAUUUCUUGUUACUAAGCGUUUUAUUUUAACACUAUGGACUCUAUCAGGCUCCGGUGCUUGCUCAUCCUCAUUAUACUAUUUUUGGUGUUUGUAACUUGUUUUCUUA